This 23981-nucleotide long non-coding RNA is filed under the name Triticum aestivum (bread wheat). RNAcentral describes it as "long non-coding RNA (TAES_LNC023945)". The record is from RNAcentral. Lineage: Eukaryota; Viridiplantae; Streptophyta; Magnoliopsida; Poales; Poaceae.
UCCCCGUUGACUCACCUCUUCCACCAUUAAAGCUCCAUUAUUGCUUCAAGCUCCAUUUUCGCCCGAUGUCACUCCCUAGCCAACCAAACUUGUUGAUUUGCUCGGGAGGUUGAGAAGGCCCCGAUCUACACUUCCACCAAGAGAUAUUUGAUUCCCCCUACUAAUCCCUUGCAGAUCUUGUUACUCUUGGGUGUUUGAGCAUCCUAGACGGUUGAGGUCACCGCGAAGCCAUAGUCCAUUGUGGUGAAGCUUCGUGGUGUCGUUGGGAGCCUCCAAUUGAGUUGUGGAGAUUGCCCCAACCUCGUUUGUAAAGGUUCGGUCGCCGUUUCCAAGGGUACCAAUAGUGGAAUCACGACAUCUCACAUUGUGUGAGGGCGUGAGGAGAUUACGGUGGCCCUAGUGGCUUCUUGGGGAGCAUUGUGCCUCCACACCGCUCCAAUGGAGACGUACUUCCUCUCAAAGGGAAGGAACUUCGGCAACAUAUCCUCGUCUCCAUCGUCUCCACUCUUGGUUAUCUCGUGCCUUUACUUGUGUAGCUUAUUUGUUUCAUAUAUCUUGCUUGCUUGUGUUCCUAUUCGUGUUGCAUCAUAUAGGUUGCUCAUCUAGUUGCAUAUAUAGACAACCUACUUUGAUGCAAAGUUUAAAUUGCUAAAGAAAAGCUAAAAAUUGUUAGUUGCCUAUUCACCCCCCUCUAGUCAACCAUAUCGAUCCUUUCACCGUACCUUCGGUGCUAGGAUCGGUCGGAUCGUGAAGACGUAUGACUACAUCAACCACGUUGUCAUAACGCUUCCGCUUAUGGUCUACGACGGUAUGUAGACAACACUCUCCCCUCUCGUUGCUAUGCAUCACCUAGAUGGAUCUUGCGUGUGCAUAGGAUUUUUUUUUUGAAAUUACUGCGUUCCCCAACACACAUGUAUGGAAAUAUAUCACAACUAAGCAACGGAAUCAGGAGAUGAAUAGUUGCAACAAAGAAUGAAGCUAAGAAUAGCCGAAGGUACAACACAUUGACCCGAUUUGCUAAUUUUGUAGCACCAUGUCUUGUUGGAUGCUGGCCUCCUCCUAACCAAUCAAUCGAUGCAAUGGUCUUACUAAAAUUGUACGAGAAGGAAAUCACGGUGGCAAAUGCAAAACCUAGGAAAGGAGAUCAAGGAACGAAAUUAAAUUGUGAAAAAAUUGGACCUCACAAUCAAACCUUACCAGGGGGGCGAGGAGUACAUGACGAUUAAAGAUAGGAUGCAUCCAGAUUUUGGCUGAUGGUGAAGCGGAGAGCCACAUAGGGGUCAUAUCCAUCGCGUGGAAAUAGGAGCAAGUCAAUUGACGUUGUCAUCGUUGUCGUGUUGCAACUGAGGUCACCAGAUGACCCAGCCGAAGAGGAACCGCUGUCGGUGUCAAAACCGGUCGAUCUCGGGUAGGGGGUCCCGAACUGUGCGUUUGAGGAUCGAAGGUAACAGUAACAGGAGGCAGGGGACACGAUGUUUAUCUAGGUUCGGGCCCUCUUGAUGGAGGUAAUACGCUACUUCCUGCUUGAUUGACUUUGAUGAGUAUAUGGGUUACAAGAGUUGAUCUAUGCACACUGGGUGAAGAAUAUUAGCUCGGGUGAAGAAUAAUGUAUUAUGCACACUGGGUGAUGAAUAGUAACACUAUAUAUAUGUAGUCCAUAUCAUAAUCUCUAAAAAACUUAUAUUUAUGAACGGAGCAAGUAUUUCUCAUGCAUGAGUGUGAGUCAUGGUGCUAUUAUCAUGGAAGUUCAGGCUCGAUCAGAGGAGUUCGAAAUCUACAAGGUGAAAUUCUGAAGCAGAUAGUUUAUCUAAGUUCCUUUUAAUCUCUGGAUGUGGGCAAACAUGUAUGGUUUUUGUUAGAAUAAUUUAAGGCGCGUAGUUGAUCUACCAAGGACCAAGCAAUCAUACGAGACACGACACCUAGAUUUGUUAAUGAGGUUCACCGUCAUGGCUACAUCCCCGGGUUUGACUAUGGACGCUCCCUCUCACGACACCGCUACCAUGUCGCACCUCGCCCGUCCGGGUGUCGGCACACGCCGCUGCCGCAUAUGUCUAACCCCUCAUAUAUAUAAGAGGCCUAGAAUACAAGUGUCUUGUUAGGACAUGACUCCAUAUUCUAUCUACAAACCAUACAACUCGGAGUUCAAUUGUAAUCUAUUUUUGUACACAAUAUUCGACACAACCCUAACAACUUUCGCAUCAACAUGACAUUGUAACAAUUCUUAUGGACCUCGUUGAUCAAUAAAGCAACAUCGUUCCCCUAAUAGAUGAAAAAGACAAGUUAACAUAGAGGCCUCGCGUGGCGCUACGCGUGGGAAAUGGAGCACCGGGACAUGAACAACUUGCAAGUGCCAAGCAGGCCUGUUAAGCUACGUGCCAAGUUCUCUCAGCAAGUGUACUGUUAUUACCUCUGUUCCAAAUUACGUGUCUUAAAAAUUAUCUAACAUUAAAAUAUGUCUAGAUAUUAUCCUUAUAUAGACAAAUCAAAAACAAAUAAUUCAGGACGGAGGAAGUAUUAUACAAGCAAAGCUGAUCUUUUUUUUUUUGCUAAAAAAAAGAAGGAGAAGGCAAAAGCCACUAUGGGCAGUGAAGCCAUUAGGCCCAGUUUAACUGUGUGGUUGGGCCACUGUUUGCCCCGCCCCCCGCAAAGCCGCUGUAUAAGCCCACCUAAGAGGCCUAUUUAUAUCGACCCCCACCUCCUCCUUCAGCCUCCACACCGAUCUAGGGUUUCCUGCUAGGGUUUUGGUCCUUCGGUUUCGGCGGCGCAAGAUGGGGGAGAGGGUCAAGGGAACCGUGAAGUGGUUCAACGUCACCAAGGGGUUCGGCUUCAUCUCCCCGGAGGACGGCAGCGAGGACCUCUUCGUCCACCAGUCCGCCAUCAAGUCCGACGGCUACCGCAGCCUCAACGAGAACGACACCGUCGAGUUCGAGGUCAUCACCGGCGACGACGGUCGCACCAAGGCCUCCGACGUCACCGCACCAGGAGGAGGAGCGCUCUCCGGCGGCUCCCGCCCUGGCGAUGGCGGUGGUGACCGUGGGGGCCGCGGCGGCUACGGUGGCGGUGGCUACGGCGGUGGCGGUGGCGGUGGCGGCUACGGAGGCGGUGGUGGCGGUUACGGCGGUGGCGGUGGCGGCUACGGUGGUGGCGGCGGCGGCCGUGGAUGCUACAAGUGCGNNNNNNNNNNNNNNNNNNNNNNNNNNNNNNNNNNNNNNNNNNNNNNNNNNNNNNNNNNNNNNNNNNNNNNNNNNNNNNNNNNNNNNNNNNNNNNNNNNNNNNNNNNNNNNNNNNNNNNNNNNNNNNNNNNNNNNNNNNNNNNNNNNNNNNNNNNNNNNNNNNNNNNNNNNNNNNNNNNNNNNNNNNNNNNNNNNNNNNNNNNNNNNNNNNNNNNNNNNNNNNNNNNNNNNNNNNNNNNNNNNNNNNNNNNNNNNNNNNNNNNNNNNNNNNNNNNNNNNNNNNNNNNNNNNNNNNNNNNNNGCGGCGAGGAGGGCCACAUCUCCAGGGACUGCCCCCAGGGCGGCGGCGGUGGCGGCGGAUACGGCGGUGGUGGCUAUGGAGGAGGCGGCGGCGGCGGCCGCGAGUGCUACAAGUGCGGCGAGGAGGGCCACAUCUCCAGGGACUGCCCCCAGGGCGGUGGUGGUGGCGGCGGCGGCGGCGGCUACGGAGGCGGUGGUGGCCGUGGCGGCGGCGGCGGCGGUGGCGGCUGCUUCUCCUGCGGCGAGUCCGGCCACUUCUCCCGCGAGUGCCCCAACAAGGCCCACUAGGCGGCACAGCUCUUCAGAUCUGAGUGCCCCGUUUACCCUCGCUCCUUUACCUACCUCCUGAUUCUGCAGCAAGUCAUACCCUAUACCUAUCAGUACUAGUAUUAGUCGCCGUAGCGUUUCCCCCUGCUGCUCGAUCCGAGCUUGGUUCCAGAAGAAUUGCUGGUGGUGUGUUCGUCGUUAAGAUCCAAGUUAUUUUGUUGUCUCUCUGUGAUGAGGACACAGAUCUAUCUAUGUGUUGGAUGGACUAAGUUAUCGAAGUCAAGUUUGGUUUCUUGAGAUUGAUCUAUGAUCUUGCAUGCCUAGUGUUUAUCUUGCAUGUCUGCCAGGCUUGAAAGCGUUGAUUCUGAUAUUCUGUUCUAGGCUAGUGGUGGUGGAUUAUUUUGGAAUCCUGUUCUCCCAUUUAUGUGCGAUUCCAUUGGCGUUUUGAUAGUGGUAUGAUUCGCAAGUUUGAUGCUUCAUGUUCAACAGGUUCAUGGUUCCAAAUCUUCAACAGGUCAAUUCUUAUAUGUUCUUGUGCCACUGUCUGCUGUUAGUAGAUUCUUCACAUGCCACUAGCUUGCAAAAUGCAUCCUAGAUCUUUUUGCAUCCGUCCUAAGCAAGACACGUUGAUUCCUUGCUAUGAUAGAAGACAAAUUCAAUCAGCUCUGCUGUUCCCAUUACGCCCACAUUUCAUUAUAAGCUUAAUCUGAAUUCAGCAGUCUCUUGCUUAAGAAAGAAGGCACCUUAGCUUACUGAUUAAGCCUGAAGCUCCGUUGCAGCUUAGUGGAGUAGUGUGCUUUGUCUGGGAUGAACAGAAUGGAAUCAUGUCGCUUUAGACUUGGGGGAUGCGAAGAAUAACAGCCUAAAUUUUUAUCUCCUUCCAACAAAUGACUCUAGAGCACAUGAACUAUGAUUGAAUAAAUCUUUAUGAGCUUACGCUUUUUAGCAUUUUUCAUAGGAAAUUUAAUAGCCACUCCCAAAUGAAACCAUGAUAUGAAGUACACAUCUCAAAUUUUCCAGAUCUCCUGUGUCCUUUGCAGGCAACGAGCAGGGGGAGGGACCCUGCCCCUGCAGUCGUACUUGGUAGUCUUUUUAGUCCUGAAUGGCACUUUGUCGGGUAAUCUCAUCGGGGAGGAAACUCCGGCGAGCCCUGUUCGUGGCCGCCAUAGCUGUUGAUGUGCUCGUCCUCUUCGAUGCUGGCAACAACUUUCUGCAACGCAUCUUAAGCGCGGUAGUCGGCGUUAGUGUAGGGAUGGAGGCAACCAAAUCGGUUUCUCCCAAGUUCCCUUUGUUUCCCUUUAGCUCCAACAAAUUCCUUGUAGAAUUUGGUCAUCUUUAUUUCGUUUCUCUAGCGUUGUUGGUCUAGGUUUUCUCUCCAAUUUACCUUGUGGUCUCUGCUUAUUGGUAUGAAUUGAAGACUGCCUUGAAUUCCUAACUUAUGGCUUGGGUUCCUCCUUAUACGUUUUCAUGGUCGAUUGGUUGCUAGGUCCAAUCAAUGCUUGUCGAUGCUCUCUCCAACCUCUCUGACUUGGGGCCCCGCAUGGUGACCAUUGUUUCAACCUGGUGGCGCUGUAGGGGCCACUCCGUGGUACUCUCUCCGGUCCGAUUUACUCAGUCGUGGCUUUAGUUUAAAUUGAACUAAAAUCAUGACGAGUAAAUCGGAAUGGAGGGAGUAGGUUUUAUAGGGCGCAUUUCUCACGGUCGGAGCUUGGUUGUUGAAGAUUGUAGUAGGACAAGAGGGGUGGUGGUUUUUUUUUUUCAAAUCAAACGCAGAAGAGAAUUAUCCAGUUAAUUAACGAGAAACCAGGUGAAAACCGUCAUAAUCCGCUGAGCGGCACACAUAGUAUACCCCACACGCCCCCUUUGAGAGGGCCUCGCCGAGCUAGUACACAUGUGUCAUCAUCAUCACUUCUUCAAAAGCGACGUCAUUGCCAUCCCUAAUCCCCGUCAUCACUUCUUCAAAAGCGACGUCAUUGCCAUCCCUAAUCCCCGAGCAAACGACUCUGAUUUCAUCGUAGACAAGCAUCAACCCAACGCACACCAUAGGGGUCAUGUGGAGACAAAUGAAGAUCUGCACUAGCACUCAACCAUCCGCGUCAAGGACAGCGCAACUCUUCCUCUGGAUGAGAGCUAGGAAGAAGAACUAUACAAGGUUGGCGCCGUGAAAACCACUGAAUAGACCACAUGUUGCUCGUUAUCGUUGAUACAUGGCCCUGCCGUCGCAGCUCCGACUUCGUAGCAACAAACAGACCAAGGCAAUCCCACGAACACGCCGAAGAAGAGCCGACUAACACAACAAUUGCCGUGCCUCCGACCUCGCUCACCCCGCCAUUGUUGCCAUAGCAGGUAGAUGUUGGUGAAUGAACUAUUAGAACUAUUAGAACCAUUGUCGGCGACUAACACAACCAUUGUCGCGCAUUCGACCUCGCUCACCCCACCAUUGUUGGCACAUAAGCUAGAUGUAGAGGGGUGGUGUUGAUGAAUGAACUAUUAGAACUAUUGCUACCAGAACUUAGAUGAUGUUCUGAAUUAUAAUUCUUAACAAUUUUAAGCUUACCUAGCGAUGCCUAGAACACCCUGCACAUACAAGUCUAACAAAGAGUAAAGCGACGAAGCAAAACUUGAUACUACAGGGAGUGAGUCUAGGAGAUUGCAAACUCAAGGAGGUUUCAUGACAUAUUUCAUCUUAUAGUUGGUGCUAUCCUACUCCAUAUUGAAGAAGACGUCAAUCCACGAACGUUCUAGGAUCACGAAGACCUCGAUUGCCAAGUCCAUGGAGUACUUUGCCUACAGGAAAAGGAGGAGUAAAAUGGUACUUCACCCCCAAGAGGUUUCAACUUUGUGGUGGGUGAGCUAAUAACAGGUAAGUUUUGAUGGCAUCUAGCUAUCUUAAGCAGAUGGAAUCUGAUUCGUGACCCAACUAGGGGGUAUAUAGGGUAUACCAUGAAUCCUACUUAAGCUCUUGAGUGGAUUGGGGCCCCUCUAGAGAAGUAUUAGUUUGAGUUCGUGAUUUUUCAUCAAAAAGGUUCUUUCGUUUUCUUGGCCGAGGGACGAUUGUUGUAGCAAGUUUGCGAGGUAAGAUUGAUCUCAUAAAGCUUCAUGAAAUAAUUCAAUGGAAUGCGACCUGCAAAAAACAAGAAGUUCCAACGUGUUUCUACAUAUUUGAUUUUUUUCCUUUUCAGCCCCCUGCUGUUUGUUUUUUCUGUACAGUACUAUGAUGAUAACAAUAUUAUGUUUUGAAACAUUUUGAGGUGGUAAAUAACAUUCAAAUAAUGCGUGUGUGAUUUUUUUCAAAUAUUUCUGCGCACCACUGGUGGUCGUAACAAAGACUUGACCUGGGAGUAGCUAGUCAAACAUAUCCGUUGAAGUCUGUCCAACCCACUGUCACCACCCAUUGACGUUGGUUUUUCCCGAGGCUCGCUGGCACUCGCAGCCGCAGCUUGGCUUUCCUGAGAACUGAGAAGGGACGAUAGGGGAGGAGGAGGUGGGGAUUUCGAAAUUCAAAAUUCACACUCUCCUCUCCUUUCGUCAGGGCAACUGCAACGCCCGUCCAUCAAAUUGUGUGUAAACAUUUGGACCAUACUUUUUAAGGGUAUAUUUGGACCAUACUUGUGUGUAAACAUUUGGACCAUGCUGUUUGGACAAUUUGUGCCCUUCAACGUCGUCCAUCAAAUGUCCAUGGACUAGUUCGUGCGUCGGAAUAACCGUAAAACCGGAAGCAAACCUAGAGGAGGCCGUCGCACUUCGACACACCCUGCCAAGACAAAAGCGAGGCGGAGCCUGCGCAUUUGGACAUUUUCGCGUGAAUGCCCGCACUUUCCCAUCGCCUCUGCUUCGAUCACCGUCACCACCCACCCCGGUUCCCGCCCGUUUCACAGUCCGCCGCCGUGAUGGAGCCGAAGGAGGUGGUGAUGGAGAUGUCCGUAGUUUAGUUUUGUCGGGUCAAGAUACGAAGGACCUAUUGGUGGUGCCUGCCCGCAAGGCCAACACGACGACACACACCACCCAUUGCCGCAAACAGAGGUAGACAAAGGAUGCUUUGAUGGUGGCUGGUCACCCAGUUCUUCGCCCGGCAAAGCAUGCGAUUCGUCGGGUGUGAGUCGUCAGUCGUGCAAUCGCCUUCACCCUGGUCGGCACAUAUGAUUCCGCCAUACUACUUCGCCGCCACGUAGUCCGGUCCGCAGCCCCUACCGUCACCACCAGCCCUCGCGUCCCGUACAAUAUCGACCUCAAUGGGGAGUACAACUUUAUGGAGUCAUAGUCGUCGGUGCUUGUCCAGCCUCCACGCCCAUCGGUGCAUGGUCUUUGUUUGCUGGGAUGUUUCAGUCGAGCGCGAUGAGUGGAUGAUGAUGAGGCGCUGAUGAAUAUGAUACACGACAACGACGACUAUGAAGGCGGGCAAGUAGAUGACACCUAGCUGGUGGUGUGGUGGUGGGCGCCCAACAGAUGCACACUUAGAUGUUAAUAACUAGCAAUCGCAGACCCGGCCGAAAAGAAGGGCGAGCCGUUUGACAAGUUCAUCGUGGUGCAAGAAAAUUUGGCACGAACAAACGGUCUUGCAGGUAAAAAAGAGGUUUGUGAAANNNNNNNNNNNNNNNNNNNNNNNNNNNNNNNNNNNNNNNNNNNNNNNNNNNNNNNNNNNNNNNNNNNNNNNNNNNNNNNNNNNNNNNNNNNNNNNNNNNNNNNNNNNNNNNNNNNNNNNNNNNNNNNNNNNNNNNNNNNNNNNNNNNNNNNNNNNNNNNNNNNNNNNNNNNNNNNNNNNNNNNNNNNNAUUCUUCUAAGACGGGAGAGUUUGACGAAUAGCAAAGUAACGAUAUUGAAACAGAAGAGAAACUAGAUCAUCACAGUAAAGCAAGACAUGCACACAUGAUAGAUGCAGAUGACGAACAUGCAAUCAUACAUACAAUAAAAUGUAAACAUGAUGAGCUGAAGGAAUGAAAGGCAUCCAGAUGAAAGUCUUCAGAAUGCGGACGUACUAAAAGUAAAUGGUUGAGGAAUAUGAAACUAGGAUAGCUCAGUGAUGACAUGAUGAUUUGUUUGAGUAGUUCAAGUUAUUGCAUCAGCUAUACGUCUGGUUAGGGAGGCUGAGAUUGAACUCAGAUGACACUAAGUAUUCACCUUAUUCCCCUUGAGCUAAGGUCACUUAGACCCCAUCCAAUUGAAGGAAAUAUGCCCUUGGGGCAAUAAUAAAGUUGUUAUUUAUAUCAUGAUAAAUGUUUACUAUUCAUGCUAGAAUUGUAUUAACCGAAAACUUGAUACAUGCAUGGAUACAUAGAUAAAACACUGUGUCCCUGGUAACCUCUACUAGAAUAGCUCGUUAAUCAAAGAUGGUUAAGUUUCCAAACCAUAGACAUGUGUUGUCAUUUGAUGAACGGGAUUACACCAUUAGGAGAAUGAUGUGAUGAACAAGACUCAUUUGUUAGCUUAGCAUAUUUAUUGUUCAGUUUUAUUGCUAUUGCUUUCUUCAUGUCAAAUACAUAUUCCUUCGACUAUGAGAUUAUGCAACUCCCGGAUACCGGAGGAAUACCUUGUGUGCUAUCGAACGUCACAAUGUAACUGGGUGAUUGUAAAGAUGCUCUACAGGUAUCUACGAAGGUGUUUGUUGGGUUGGCAUAGAUCGAGAUUAGGAUUUGUCACUCCGAGCAUCAGAGAGGUAUCUCUGGGCCCUCUCGGUAAUGCACACCAUAAGAAGCCUUGCAAGCAAGUGACUAAUGAGUUAGUUACAGGAUGAUGUAUUACGGAACGAGUAAAGAGACUUGCCGGUAACGAGAUUGAACUAGGUAUGAAGAUACCAACGAUCGAAUCUCGGGCAAGUAACAUACCGAUGACAAAGGGAAUAACAUAUGUUGUCAUUACGGUUCGACCGAUAAAGAUCUUCGUAGAAUAUGUGGGAACCAAUACGAGCAUCCAGGUUCUGCUAUUGGUUAUUGAUAAACUAUUCCGAUGUCCAAACAUAACCUUCCAAUAUAUCAAUCUUUAUGUCUAGACCAUUUCGAGACUCCUCGUCAUGUCCGUGAUCUCAUCUGGGACUCCGAACAAACUUCGGUUCAUCAAAACAUAUAACUCAAAUCGUCAUUGAACGUUAAGCGUGCGGACCCUAUGGGUUUGAGAACUAUGUAGACAUGACGGAGACACAUCUUCGGUCAAUAGCCAAUAGCGAAACCUGUAUGCUCAUAUUGGCUCCUACAUAUUCUAUGAAGAUCUUUAUCGGUCAAACCGUAUAACAACAUACGUUGUUCCUGUCAUCGGUAUGUUACUUGCCCGAGAUUCGAUCGUCUGUAUCAUCAUACCUAGUUCAAUAUCGUUACCGGCAAGUCUCUUUACUCGUUCCGUAAUGCAUCAUCCCGUGGCUAGCUAACUCAUUACACACAUUGCUUGCAAGGCUCAUAGUGAUGUGCAUUACCGAGAGGGCCCAGAGAUACCUCUUUGAUACACAGAGUGACAAAUCCUAAUCUCGAUCUCUGCCAACUCAACAAACACCAUCGGAGACAUCUGUAGAGCAUCUUUAUAAUAACCCAGUUACAAUGUGACGUUUGAUAGCACACAAGGUAUUCCUCCAGUAUUCGGGAGUUGCAUAAUCUCAUAGUCAGAGGAACAUGUAUAAGUCAUGAAGAACGCAAUAGCAAUAAAACUAAACGAUCAUUAUGCUAAGCUAACGGAUGGGUCUUGUCCAUCACAUCAUUCUCUAAUGAUAUGAUCCCAUUCAUCAAAUGACAACACAUGUCUAUGGUCACGAAACUACACCAUCUUUGAUUAACGAGCUAGUCUAGUAGAGGCAUACUAGGGACACUCUGUUUGUCUAUGUAUUCACACAUGUACUAAGUUUUUGGUUAAUACAAUUCUAGCAUGAAUAAAAAACAUUUAUCAUAAUAUAAGGAAAUAUAAAUAACAACUUUAUUAUUGCCUCUAGGGCAUAUUUCCUUCAGUCUCCCACUUGCACUAGAGUCAAUAAUCUAGAGUACAUAGUAAUGAUUCUAACACCCAUGGAGUCUUGGUGCUGAUCAUGUUUUGCUUGUGAGAGAGGAUUAGUCAACGGGUCUGCAACAUUCAGAUCCGUAUGUAUCUUGCAAAUCUCUAUGUCUCCCUCCUUGACUUGAUCGCGGAUGGAAUUGAAGCAUCUCUUGAUGUGUUUGGUUCUCUUGUGAAAUCCGGAUUCCUUCGCCAAGGCAAUUGCUCCAGUAUUGUGACAAAAGAUUUUCAUUGGACCCAAUGCACUAGGUAUGACACCUAGGUCGGAUAUGAACUCCUUCAUCUAGACUCCUUCAUUUGCUGCUUCUGAAGCAACUAUGUACUCCGCUUCACACGUAGAUCCCGCCACGACGCUCUGCUUGGAACUGCACCAACUGAAAGCUCCACCAUUCAAUAUAAAUACAUAUCCGGCUUGUGACUUAGAGUCAUCCGGAUCAGUGUCAAAGCUUGCAUCGACGUAACCAUUUACGACGAGCUCUUUGUCACCUCCAUAAACGAGAAACAUAUCCUUAGUCCUUUUUAUGUAUUUCAGGAUGUUCUUGAUUGUUGUCCAGUGAUCCUCUUCUGAAUUACUUUGGUACCUCCCUACUAAAAUAAUAGCAAGGCACACAUAAGGUCUGGUACACAACAUUUCAUACAUGAUAGAACCUAUGGCUGAGGCAUAGGGAAUGACUUUCAUUUUAUCUCUAUCUCCUGCAAUGGUCGGGCAUUGAGUCUGACUCAACUUCACACCUUGUAACAUAGGCAAGAACCCUUUCUUCGACCGAUCCAUUUUGAACUUCUUCAAAAAUUUAUCAAGGUAUGUGCCUUUUGAAAGUCCAAUUAAGCGUCUUGAUCUAUCUCUAUAGAUCUUGAUGCCCAAUAUAUAAGCAGCUUCACCGAGGUCUUUCAUUGAAAAAUUCUUAUUCAAGUAUCCUUUUAUGCUAUUCAGAAAUUCAAUAUCAUUUCCAAUCAACAAUAUGUCGUCCACAUAUAAUAUAAGAAAUGCUACAGAGCUCCCACUCACUUUCUUGUAAAUACAGGCUUCUCCAAAAGUCUGUAUAAAACCAUAUGCUUUGAUCACACAAUCAAAGCGUAUAUUCCAACUCCGAGAGGCUUGCACCAGUCCAUAAAUGGAUCGCUGGAGUUUGCACACUUUGUUAGCACCUUUUGGAUCGACAAAACCUUCUGGUUACAUCAUAUACAACUCUUCUUUAAGAUAUCCAUUAAGGAAUACAGUUUUGACAUCCAUUUGCGAAAUUUCAUAAUCAUAAAAUGCGGCAAUUGCUAACAUGAUUUGGACAGACUUAAGCAUCGUUACGGGUGAGAAGGUCUCAUCGUAGUCAACUCCUUGAACUUGUCGAAAACCUAUCGCAACAAGUCGAGCUUUGUAAACAGUAACAUUACCGUCAGCGUUAGUCUUCUUCUUGAAGAUCCAUUUAUUUUCUAUUACUUGCCCAUCAUCGGGCAAGUCAACCAAAGUCCACACUUUGUUCUCAUACAUGGAUCCCAUCUCAGAUUUCAUGGCCUCAACCCAUUUCAUGGAAUCUAGGCUCAUCAUCGCUUCCUCAUAGUUCGUAGGUUCAUCAUGGUCAAGUAACAUGACCUCCAGAACAGGAUUACCGUACCACUCUGGUGCGGAUCUUACUCUGGUUGACCUACGAGGUUCGGUAGUAACUUGAUCAGAAGUUUCAUGAUCAUCAUCACUAGCUUCCUCACUAAUUGGUGUAGGAAUCACCGAAACUGACUUCUGUGAUUAACUACUUUCCAAUUCGGGAGAAGGUACAAUGACCUCAUCAAGUUCUACUUUCCUCCCACUCACUUCUUUCGAGAGAAACUCCUUCUCUAGAAAGGAUCCAUUCUUAGCAACGAAUAUUUUGCCUUCAGAUCUGUGAUAGAAGGUGUACCCAACAGUCUCCUUUGGGUAUCCUAUGAAGACACAUUUCUCCGAUUUGGGUUCGAGCUUAUCAGGUUGAAGCUUUUUCGCAUAAGCAUCGCAGCCCCAAACUUUAAGAAACGACAACUUGGGUUUCUUGCCAAACCACAGUUCGUAUGGUGUCGUCUCAACGGAUUUAGAUGGUUCCAUAUUUAACAUGAAUGUAGCCGUCUGAUAACCCACAAGUAUAGGGGAUCGCAAUAGUUUUCGAUAAGUAAGAGUGUCGAACCCAACGAGGAGCUAAAGGCAGAACAAAUAUUCCCUCAAGUUCUAUCGACCACCGAUACAACUCUAUGCAUGCUUGAUGUUCGCUUUACCUAGAACAAGUAUGAAACUAGAAAUACUAUGUAGGUGUUGUUGGAUAGGUUUACAAGAUAAUAAAUAGCAAGUAAAUAAAAAGUAGGGGCUGUUUAGAUAAAGACACAACUAAGUUAGUUUUAGUAAAGAGCUUUUUGUUACGAGAAAGUUAUUUGUCCCUAGGCAAUCGAUAACUAGACCGAUAAUCAUUAUUGCAAUUUUAUAUGAGGAAGAGGCAUAAGCUAACAUACUUUCUCUACUUGGAUCAUAUGCACUUAUGAUUGGAACUCUAGAAAGCAUCCUCAACUACUAAAGAUCAUUAAGGUAAAACCCAACCAUAGCAUUAAAGUAUCAAGUCCUCUUUAUCCCAUACGCAAACAACCUACUUACUCGGGUCUGUGCUUCUGUCACUCACGCCACCCACCAUAAGCAAAUCAUGAACAUAUUGCAAACCCUACAGCAGGAAUCCCUCACGCUUGCGCGACACAGAGAGCACCAUAGGACAGCACCAAUAAUAAAACAUGCAACUCAAACCAAUCACGAUCAUUAAUUAACCCAUAGGACAAAACGGAUCUACUCAAACAUCAUAGGAUAGCCAUACAUCAUUGGGAAAUAAUAUAUAGCAUUGAGCACCAUGUUUAAGUAGAGAUUACAGUGAGUAAAAUAGAGGUUACACUGCUGCAUAGAGGGGGGAAGAGUUGGUGAUGAUGGCGGUGAAGUUGUUGGUGAAGAUUGCGGUGAUGAUGAUGGUCCCCGGUGGCACUCCGGUGCCACUGGAAGCGAGGGGGAGAGAGCCCCCCUCCAUCUUCUUCUUCCUUGAACUCCUCCCUAGAUGGGAGAAGGGUUUCCCCUCUGGUCCUUGGUCUCCAUGACGUGGGAGGGGCGAGAGCCCCUCCGAGAUUGGAUCUCUCUCUCUCUCUCUCUCUCUCUCUCUCUCUCUCUCUCUGUUUCUGUGUUCCCAGAUUCUCCCUUUCACCAUUUCUUAUAUUUUCGUAGAUCUGCAACUCCGAUUGGGCUGAAAUUUUAACACGAUCUCUAUUCGGAUAUUAGCUUUCUUGCGGCGAAAGAAGGGCAUCAACCGCCUUACGGGGUGGCCACGAGGGUCAGGGGCGCGCCCAGGGGGUGGGGCGCCCCCCUGCCUCGUGCCUCCCUCGGGCACCGUCUCGCAUGGAUUUUUCUUCCCCAAAAUCAUAUAUAUUCCAAAAAAAUCUCCGUCAGUUUUUAUCCCGUUUGGACUCCGUUUCAUAUGGAUAUUCUGCGAAACAAAAAACAUGCAACAAACAGGAACUGACACUGGGCAAUGGAUGAAUAUGUUAGUCCCAAAAAUAGUAUAAAAAGUUGCCAAAAGUAUAUGAAAGUUGUAGAAUAUUGGCAUGGAACAAUAAAAAAUUAUAGAUACGAGAGAGACGUAUCAGUAUCCCCAAGCUUAAUUCCUGCUCGUCCUCGAGUAGGUAAAUGAUAAAAAAGAUAAUUUUUGAUGUGGAAUGCUACCUAGCAUAAUCUUGAUCACAUAUCUAAUCAUGGCAUGAAUAUUAAGACACGAGUGAUUCAAAGCAAUAAUCUAUCAUUUGACAUAAAAACAAUAAUACUUCAAGCCCACUAAUAAAGCAAUCAUGUCUUUUCAAAAUAACAUGGCCAACGAAAGUUAUCCCUACAAAAUCAUAUAGUCUGGCUAUGCUCCAUCUUCACCACACAAAAUAUUCACAUCAUGCACAACCCCGAUGACAAGCCAAGCAAUUGUUUCAUACUUUUGACGUUCUCAAACCUUUUCAACUUUCACGCAAUACAUGAGCGUGAGCCAUGGACAUAGCACUAUAGGUGGAAUAGAAUGGUGGUUGUGGAGAAGACAAAAAGGAGAAGAUAGUCUCACAUCAACUAGGCAUAUCAACGGGCUAUGGAGAUUCCCAUCAAUAGAUAUCAAUGUGAGUGAGUAGGGAUUGCCAUGCAACGGAUGCACUAGAGCUAUAAGUGUAUGAAAGCUCAGACUGAAAACUAAGUGGGUGUGCAUCCAACUUGCUUGCUCAUGAAGACCUCGGGCGUUUGAGGAAGCCCAUCAUCGGAAUAUACAUGCCAAGUUCUAUAAUGAAAAUUCCCACUAGUAUAUGAAAGUGAUAACUCAAGAGCCUCUCUAUAUGAAGAACAUGGUGCUACUUUGAAGCACAAGUGUGGUAAAAGGAUAGUAACAUUGCCCCUUCUCUCCUUUUCUCUCCUUUUUUUUGUGGGCUUCUUUGGCCUCUUUUUUUAUUUGGGCUUCUUUGGCCUCUUUUAUUUAUUUUUAAAGUCCGGAGUCUCAUCCCGACUUGUGGGGGAAUCAUAGUCUCCAUCAUCCUUUCCUCACUGGGACAAUGCUCUAAUAAUGAUGAUCAUCACACUUUUAUUUACUUACAACUCAAUAUUACAACUCGAUACUAGAACAAAGAUAUGACUCUAUAUGAAUGCCUCCAGCAGUGUACCGGGAUGUGCAAUGAUCUAGCGUAGCCAUGACAUCAAAAAAUGGAUAAGCCAUGAAAACAUCAUGCUAGCUAUCUUACGAUCAUGCAAAGCAAUAUGACAAUGAAUGCUCAAGUCAUGUAUAUGAUGAUGAUGGAAGUUGCAUGGCAAUAUAUCUCGGAAUGGCUAUGUAAAUGCCAUGAUAGGUAGGUAUGGUGGCUGUUUUGAGGAAGGUAUAUGGUGGGUUUAUGGUACCGGCGAAAGUUGCGCGUUACUAGAGAGGCUAGCAAUGGUGGAAGGGUGAGAGUGCGUAUAAUCCAUGGACUCAACAUUAGCCAUAAAGAACUCACAUACUUAUUGCAAAAGUCUAUUAGCUAUCGAAACAAAGUACUAAGUGCAUGCUCCUAGGGGGAUAGUUUGGUAGGAAAAGACCAUCGCUCGUCCCCGACCGCCACUCAUAAGGAAGACAAUCAAUAAAUAAAUCAUGCUCCGACUUCAUUACAUAACGGUUCACCAUACGUGCAUGCUACGGGAAUCACAAACUCCAACACAAGUAUUUCUACAAUCCACAACCACCCACUAGCAUGACUCUAAUAUCACCAUCUUUAUAUCGCAAAACUAUUGCAAGGAAUCAAACAUAUCAUAUUCAGUGAUCUACAAGUUUUAUGUAGGAUUUUAUGACUAACCAUGUGAAUGACCAAUUCCUAUCAUCUCUCUAAAUAGAUAUAAGUGAAGCAAGAGAGUUUAAUUCUUUCUACAAAAGAUAUGCCCACGCUCUAACAAAUAUAAGUGGAGCAAAAGAGCAUUCUACAAAUGGUGUUUUUUAUGUAAAGAGAGACAGGCAAUCCAAACUUCAAAUGAUAUAAGUGAAGCACAUGAAGCAUUCUACAAAGCCAUACUCAAAAGAUAUAAGUGAAGUGCAUAGAGCAUUCUAUAAAUCAAUCGAGGACUAUCUCAUACCAGCAUGGUGCAUAAAAGAAAAAAAAUGAAAACUAAAUGCAAAGACACUCGAAGAUUUACACAUAUCACAUGAAUGAAACGAAUCCGAAAACAUACUGAUACUUGUUGAAGAAAGAGGGGAUGCCUUCCGGGGCAUCCCCAAGCUUAGAUGAUUGAAUCUCCUUGAAUAUUUACUUGUGGUGCCUUGGGCAUCCCCAAUUAUCUUGAGCUCUUGCCUCUCUUCCUUCUUCUUACAUCGAGACCUUCUCGAUCAUCAAACACUUCAUCCACACAAAACUUCAACAGAAAACUCGGUAAGAUCCGUUAGUAUAAUAAAGCAAAUCACUACUCUAAGUACUAUUGUAAACCAAUUCAUAUUUUGUUUUUGCAUUGUGUCUACUGUAAUAUAACUUUUUCAUGGCUUAAUCCACUGAUAUGAAUCGAUAGUUUCAUCAAAACAAGCAAACUAUGCAUCAAAAACAGAAUCUUUCUAAAACAGAACAGUCUAUAACAAUCUGAACAUUCACCAUACUUUUGAUACUUUAAAAAUUCUACCAAAAUUAGUAAAAAUAAAAAAAUUGUAUAUAAAGACAGUGCAAAAAUAAUCAGAACCAUUUGACGUUCCAGCUAAAAAUGUAAAAUCGCGCACUACAGCCAAAGUUUAUGUCCUGCACCGUACAAACCAACAAGCAUUGUAAACAUCCUAAAGGCAAACCUUGGCACAUUAUUUUUAUAAUACAAUGGAAUUGUACAAGGGGAUAAUUAUUUUUUGAAAAGUUCCUGUAAUCAAGAUUCACAAAGUUCCCGUGAGCAUGAACAAAGUUCAAGGCUAGCUCCUACUUCAACAAUGCUCGUCUUUCUCACUUUCGUUUUCCUUUUUGAAAAAGUUUUGGGUUCCCCUCUUUAUUUUUUUUGUUUUUAAACUAUAUAAAAGCACUCAACAGAAGUAAAUGACUCUCUAAAACUUCCGGGUUGUCUCCCUGGCAGCGCUUUGUUUAAAGCCAUUAAGCUAGGCAUAUAGUGCUCAAGUAGUGAAUCCACCCGGAUCCCAAGGUAUAUCAAAGCCAAUUUUAAUUAACAAUGAUUUGUUAUUUAGUAGUGAGCACAAAGUAACAUAUAUCAUGUAACAACUAACUCUAACUCUCUUCCUAUGCAUCAGCAUGUCAUAAAAGAACAAUUCAUGCACACAUAGUAAAGGCCAAUGCAUAGUAUAAACAGUUUCUUGCAAUUUUAUCGUAUUGGAAACAUAGAGAGGUGGAGAUAUAGUUCCUAUCUCAUAAUAAUUGCAAGUAGGAGCAGCAAGCACAUGCAUAUUAUAUCUAUCAAAAUCAUCAUGUGUAGUAGUAAAAGGCAACCCAUCAAUAUAAUCCUUAAUAAGCACAAACUUCUCCGAUAUAGUAUAGUUUGGAGAAUUCAAAAAGAUAAUAGGACUAUCAUGUGUGGGUGCAAUAUCAACAAUUUCAUGUUUAACAUAAGGAAAUAUAGCAAGUUCAUCUCCAUAAGCAUAAUUUAUAUUGGCAUCUUGGCCACAAGCAUAGCAAGCAUAAUCAAAAAGGGAUAUUUCAAGAGAGUCAACGGGAUCGUAACAAUCAUCAUAGCAAUCAUCCUUCGGUAAGCACGAAGAGAAAUUAAACAAUGUAUGAGUUGAAGAGUUACUCUCAUUAGAAGAUGGGCACGGGUAGCUAAUCCGCUCUUCCUCCUUUUGUUCUUCGCUCUCCUCCUCAUCUUUUUCAUCCAAUGAGCUCACAGUUUCAUCAAUUUCUUCUUCCAUAGACUCCUGCAAAAUAGUAGUCUCUUCUUGGACAGCGGAGUAGUCCUCAAUAUAUGGUUCAACAUAGGCAUUAGAAGUAUAAUUAUCAUAACAAUAUUUAAGUAUGGCAAAAUUUUCAGAUUUGUAAAGAGUAGCAUCACACUUUUCAAUCAAAGAAUCAAUUUCGUAAGCACCCUUAAAAGCAACAAAUUCUUCAAUUUGUUGAACAUCAUAGUAAUUAUAAACACCCUUAGCAUACGAAGAUACGAUUCCAUUAUCACUAAACUCACAUUUAUAGGGGAGAUGUUUCUUAGGGUUUUCAGAACAACAAGUAAAAUCAUAUAUUUCACAUAAAUUCCAAGCAUAGCAUUGCAAACGAUGAAUUUGACCCAGUAAAAGUUUCCCUUUUUCAGAUAUACGGUGUCGCACAUAACAAGCAUGCCCAUCUAAAGAUUUGCCCUCAACUAAGCUAGUUGGGGUUUCAGCACGAGCACAUAGGGAUCGAAGAUGAUCUAAGUAAUAAGCUUCAAGAGUGUGAUAGAUUUUGAGUGGUUCUUCAACCAUUGGUUCAGUAGGUACAACUAUUUUUUUGGUAUUUUGCGUUUCCUACCCAUAACUAAAGAUAGAAAACAACUAAGAACAACAAAUAAAAAUUACUUAGUCAUAAAGCAAACAAGCACACACGAGAAUAUUCACCCCAUGCUAUUCCUCCCCGGCAACGACGCUAGAAAAAGGUCUUGAUAACCCACAAGUAUAGGGGAUCACAACUAUUUUUGAUAAGUAAGAGUGUCGAACCCAACGAGGAGCUAAAGGCAGAACAAAUAUUCCCUCAAGUUCUAUCGACCACCGAUACAACUCUAUGCACGCUUGAUGUUCGCUUUACCUAGAACAAGUAUGAAACUAGAAGUACUAUGUAGGUGUUGUUGGAUAGGUUUAAAAGAUAAUAAAGAGCAAGUAAAUAAAAAGUAGGGGCUGUUUAGAUAAAGACACAACUAAGUUAGUUUUAGUAAAGAGCUUUUUGUUACGAGAAAGUUAUUUGUCCCUAGGCAAUCGAUAACUAGACCGGUAAUCAUUAUUGCAAUUUUAUAUGAGGGAGAGGCAUAACAUAACAUACUUUCUCUACCUGGAUCAUAUGCACUUAUGAUUGGAACUCUAGCAAGCAUCCUCAACUACUAAAGAUCAUUAAGGUAAAACCCAACCAUAGCAUUAAAGUAUCAAGUCCUCUUUAUCCCAUACGCAAACAACCUACUUACUCGGGUCUGUGCUUCUGUCACUCACACCACCCACCAUAAGCAAAUCAUGAACAUAUUGCAAACCCUACAGUGGGAAUCCCUCACGCUUGUGCGACACGGAGAGCACCAUAGGACAACACCAAUAAUAAAACAUGCAACUCAAACCAAUCACAAUCAUCAAUUAACCCAUAGGACAAAACGGAUCUACUCAAACAUCAUAGGAUAGCCAUACAUCAUUGGGAAAUAAUAUAUAGCGUUGAGCACCAUGUUUAAGUAGAUAUUAAAGUGGGUAAAAGAGAGGUUACACUGCUGCAUAGAGGGGGGAAGAGUUGGUGAUGACGGCGGUGAAGUUGUUGGUGAAGAUUGCGGUGAUGAUGAUGGCCCCCGGUGGCACUCCGGUGCCACUGGAAGCGAGGGGGAGAGAGCCCCCCUCCUUCUUCUUCUUCCUUGACCUCCUCCCUAGAUGGGAGAAGGGUUUCCCCUCUGGUCCUUGGUCUCCAUUACGUGGGAGGGGUGAGAGCCCCUCCGAGAUUGGAUCUGUCUCUCUGUCUCUCUCUGUUUCUGCGUUCCCAGAUUCUACCCUUUCACCGUUUCUUAUAUCCCCGGAGAUCCGUAACUCCGAUUGGGCUGAAAUUUUAAUACGAUCUCUAUCCGGAUAUUAGCUUUCUUGCGGUGAAAGAAGGGCAUCAACUGCCUUACGGGGUGGCCACGAGGGUCAGGGGCGCGCCCAGGGGGGUGGGGCGCGCCCCCCUGCCUCGUGCCUCCCCCGGGCACCGUCUCGCGUGGAUUUUUCUUCCCAAAAAUCAUAUAUAUAUAUAUAUAUUCCAAAAAAAUCUCCAUCAAUUUUUAUCCCGUUUGGACCCCGUUUGAUAUGAUAUUCUGCGAAACAAAAAACAUGCAACAAACAGGAACUGGCACUGGGCACUGGAUGAAUAUGUUAGUCCCAAAAAUAGUAUAAAAAGUUGCCAAAAGUAUAUGAAAGUUGUAGAAUAUUGGCAUGGAACAAUCAAAAAUUAUAGAUACGACAGAGACGUAUCACCAUCUCUAAAGCAUAACCCCAAAAUGAUAGCGGUAAAUCAGUAAGAGACAUCAUAGAUCACACCAUAUCUAAUAAAGUACGAUUACGACAUUCGGACACACCAUUACACUGUGGUGUUCCAGGCGGUGUGAGUUGUGAAACUAUUCCACAUUGUUUCAAAUGAAGACCAAACUCGUAACUCAAAUAUUCACCUCCACGAUCAGAUCGUAGAAACUUUAUUUUCUUGUUACGUUGAUUUUCCACUUCACUCUGAAAUUGUUUGAACUUUUCAAAUGUUUCAGACUUAUGUUCAUCAAGUAGAUAUACCCAUAUCUGAUCAAAUCAUCUGUGAAGGUUAGAAAAUAACAAUACCCGAUGCGAGCCUCAACACUCAUCGGACCGCAUACAUCAGUAUGUAUUAUUCCCAACAAGUCUGUUGCUCUUUCCAUUGUUCCGAAGAACGGAGUCUUAGUCAUCUUGCCCAUGAGGCAUGGUUCGCAAGCAUCAAGUGAUUCCAAAAGUCCAUCAACAUGGAAUUUCUUAAUGCGCUUUAAACCAAUAUGACCUAGACGACAGUGCCCCAAAUAAGUUGCUGUCGGUGUCAAAACCGGCGAAUCUCGGGUAGGGGGUCCCGAACUGUGCGUCAAGGCCGGAUGGUAACAGGAGACAAGGGACAAGAUGUUUUUUACCCAGGUUUGGGCCCUCUCGAUGGAGGUAAUACCCUAUUCCUGCUUGAUUAAUAUUGAUGAUAUGGGUAGUACAAGAGUAGAUCUACCACGAGAUCAAGGAGGCUAAACCCUAGAAGCUAGCCUAUGGUAUGAUUGUUGUGUAUGGAGUUGAUUGCCUACGGACUACAACCCUCCGGUUUAUAUAGACACCAGAUAGGGUUAGGGUUACAUAGAGUCGGUUACAAUGGUAGGAGAUCUUGAAUAUCCGCAUCGCCAAGCUUGCCUUCCACGCCAAGGAAAAUCCCAUCCGGACACGGGACGAAGUCUUCAAUCUUGUAUCUUCAUAGUCCAGGAGUCCAGCUGAAGGUAUAGUCCGGCUACCCGAACACCCCCUAAUCCAGGACUCCCUCAGUAGCCCCCGAACCAGGCUUCAAUGACGAUGAGUCCGGCGCGGAGAUUGUUCGGCAUUGCAAGGCGGGUUCCUCUCCAAAUCUUGUGUACCUGUAGGAAUAAUGUCCGAUUUUUGUAAUGUAGUGCUCCUCGGCUUCCACGCCCAAUAAUGGCCAUCUUCCACAUGUUCAAACGAAUGCGAAAAGCCGGGGUGUUUUUACAUCCACACCCCUAGCCGUAUAAACGAGCCGCCUAUUUAACGGGAUGGGGAUUUAGGUCCAAACCACAUCUUCUCCUUUCCGCGAGUUAUCAUCAGAGCGCUUCCAACAAAGGUCCAUUCCAACAUGACCAGCCGUCGCAGCUCCUCCCCUCGCCCUCCGGUCCCAAACCCGAGGACUGGGAGAGUUGUUCCAUCCCGCAUAGCGAGUUAGCGUCACUUCAGGCCAAGGGAUUUCUCCCUCAGGCAUACAUGGUCCCGGUCCGAGCCGGUCUCGCCACCUAUAAUGGCGGAAAACAAGCGGAGAGCACCCCCAAUCCUUCUAAAGGAGAGCGGGUGUGCCUCGUCCCCUAUCUAAUAAGGGGACUGGGAUUUCCAAUUCACCCAUUUCUCCGCGGGCUUCUGGAGUUCUACGGCCUCCAGCUGCACAACCUCACGCCCGCCUCCGUAUUGCAUAUUGCGGGUUUCGUCGCCCUUUGCGAGCUAUUUUUAGGCGUUGAGGAUCAUUUCGCGCUGUGGAAGAGGUUAUUCUGCCUGGUGCCCCGUUAUAAAGAGGGGUCUAUAUACCAAGUGGGCGGAGCCGAAGUAUGGCGCAUCGCCGGGACCGGAUACCUAUCCGGAACCCCAAAGAAGGCGUCCGAGGACUGGCCUUCGGAAUGGUUUUAUAUAGAUGACGUCCCGCUACCGGACCCUAUCCGGGUCGGUCUCCCUGAGUUCAACAGUGCUCCAUUGAAGAAACGCUUGAGCUGGCGUCCGCGGAGCUCUCAGAGAGAGAGCGACAGAGACGUCCUUUACCUGAUGGGCCGGAUAACACUGUUGGCUCAUUCCGGACUAACCAUGAUUGGAGUCAUGGCCGCAUGCAUUAUGCGGGGGGUGCAGCCACUUCAAUAUAGAGGCCACCCCAUGUGGGAUUUCAACGGGGAGGAUGACGCCACCCGUUACGGUCGUAAGGGGCCGGCUUUAGCUGCCGCCCUAGUAAAGAUCUUAUCCUCUUUGUACAAGGGAGAAAAGGAGGAAUUCCUCCGCGUCAACCCGCAGGCCGGAUUUACUAUGUACGUUCCUCCAAGUUGGGUAAGUGAACAACUGCGCUUGCCCGUUUGUUUUGUACUCCCACGGUUAGAUAUGUAGUCUAACGACUUCAAUGCAGGAACUGCGACAGGUGGUAAAGGAUAUAAACAAUCGCCCUCCACAACCCGAGGACCCAGAUCGGUCCCUCGAUCCGGACUCCGAAGAGGAUCCGGACAUAUCGGUGGAGCUUAUCGACGGGGUGUUCCAUCAGCUAAGCAAGGACAAUACCUUGGUAGCCAUCACGGCUGAUUACCCAGGGUUAAUCCCGGCCUCCCAGGUGACAGAAACCGGAGUCUCAUUCCCUUGAGGGAGAUUCCACUCUCACGUAUUCCAGUGUUUCUGACGACAACCAUGUUUUCCAGGGGAGAUUUCCGAGGCAGGAGGCCGAACCUGCGGCGGCUAGCCAACGAGGGGCCGCAGGGCCCCGUGGGGCAAAAAGGAAUGUAGUUCGAACUGAGAUGCCGGCGCAAAGGUAUAGCACACCCUCUGCUUCCCUGGUGUUAUUCUGUCCGGGCAUAUUAACGUUCGUGCUAUCUUCAGAACGAAGAGACCUCGCCGGACUAUAUCCGGAGAGGUUGCCAAUCGCGCCUCCACCAGCCAGGCUCCAACGUCUGGCCAGGAAGCGGAGGCGAGCACAAGGCGCGCACAGGACGCUCCUCCGACAGAGGAUGCGGAUAGUCUGUCUGCCACAAAUUCUGAAGUGGAGAGUGCCAUGAACCACAGGCGUUGCCGGACAGUUCUACGCGACGCUUGUUUCUCCCAAGAGGCUUUAGAUGCCUUUAAUUCGGGAGAUGCGUACCUCCGUGCCGCUCAAAAUGGUUUAGCCAGAGCCACGGAGCAGUAUGUAAAAGACAUACGGGUAAGAAAAUUUUGGUCAAAUAUAUAUUACCCGUAGCCCCCGAGACUUGAAACAGUUAGAGCAACUGAUUUAAGGAUCAUUUAAUAUUUAGGUUCUUACAGAGAAGAAUACUGUACUGUCCCAGGAGCUGGAAAAGUGCAAGGCCCAACUAGAGGCCGCACUAGCCGCAGUGGGGGAGUCCAAAGAGACCCCCUCAGGUAAGAUACACUUCGAAAGAUUAGUAUUGUGUGGUGUGGGUGCAAAUCUGACAAAUCAUGUUGCAGAUGGCGCCGGACUCGAUCCGGAAAAGCAACAACUCUUACGCCAGCUAAAGGCUGGUGAGAGUACGUUGACAAAGGUGAGGCGAGAGCAGAAUGAUCUUCAGGAUGCCAACACCAGGCUGGACGUCGAACUUAAAGAUGUUCGUGGCCAGCUGUCGGACUCCACGAAGGAGAAUCAGCGGCUUCGACGCGGCAUAUUUAGUAAGUGCUUGAACGAACUUUGAAAAAA